GAGGGUAUAGCUCAAGUGGUAGAGUGCAUGCUUACCAUGCACAAAAUCCUGGGUUCAAUCCCUGGUACUUUCU
RNAcentral lists this transfer RNA (73 nucleotides) under Camelus bactrianus (Bactrian camel). It matches the Rfam family "tRNA". Rfam says of the family: Transfer RNA (tRNA) molecules are approximately 80 nucleotides in length. Their secondary structure includes four short double-helical elements and three loops (D, anti-codon, and T loops). The record is from Rfam by way of RNAcentral. Lineage: Eukaryota; Metazoa; Chordata; Mammalia; Artiodactyla; Camelidae. RNAcentral also lists the same sequence under 2 other names.